AUAAUGAUACUUAUCUACGGAGCUGGCGGAGUACCCGGCAGAGGUGAAAUUCCUAUGA
RNAcentral lists this non-coding RNA (58 nucleotides) under unclassified sequences. Its description in RNAcentral is "pemK RNA". It matches the Rfam family "pemK RNA". The record is from RNAcentral.